GACGAACGCUGGCGGCGUGCCUAAUACAUGCAAGUCGAACGAACAGGCGCUAAUCUUGGUGUACUGAUGUUAGCAGCGGACGGGUGAGUAACACGUGGAUAACUUACCUAUACGACUGGAAUAACUUCGGCAAACCGGAGCUAAUACCAGAUAAUAUUUUUAACCGCAUGGUUCAAAAGUGUAAUAGGGUCUUGCUGUCACUUAUAGCUGUAUCCUCGGUGCAUUGGCUAGUUGGUAAGGUAACGGCUUAGGAAGGCAACGAUGCAUAGCCGACCUGAGAGGGUGAUCCGGCACGCUGGAACGGAGACACGGUACAGACCUGUACGAGAGGCCACAGUACGGCAUCUUGCGGAAGGGGGGAAUGCUGGACGGAGCACGGAAGCGUGAGUGAUGAAGGUCUCCGGAUGGUAGAACGCUGUUAUUAGGGAAGCACAUAUGUGUAAGUACCUGUGCACAUCUUGACGGUACCUAGUCAGAAAGCCACGGCUAACUACGUG
This 497-nucleotide ribosomal RNA is filed under the name uncultured bacterium. RNAcentral's name for it is "partial 16S ribosomal RNA". It matches the Rfam family "Bacterial small subunit ribosomal RNA", at positions 28 to 507 of the family's 1533-position model. The record is from RNAcentral.